GAUGAACGCUGGCGGCGUGCUUAACACAUGCAAGUCGAACGAAGCACUUUAUUUGAUUUCCUUCGGGACUGAUUAUUUUGUGACUGAGUGGCGGACGGGUGAGUAACGCGUGGGUAACCUGCCUUGUACAGGGGGAUAACAGCUGGAAACGGCUGCUAAUACCGCAUAAGCGCACGGCAUCCCCUGACGCAGUGUGGAAAACUCCGGUGGUAUAAGAUGGACCGGCGUUGGAUUAUCAGGUUGGUGCGGUAACGGCCUAGCAAGGCGAGGAUCCAUAGCCGAGCUGAGAGGGUGACCGCAGACAUUGGAAGUGAGACGCAGCCCAAACUACUAGGGGAGGGAGCAGUGGGGAAUAUUGCAAAAUGGGCGAUAGCCUGAUGGAGCGACGCCGGGUGAGCGAAGAAGGAUUUCAGUAUGUAAAGCUCGAUCAGCAGGUACGAUAAUGACGUUACCUGACUAAGAAGCACCGGCUAAAUACGUG
RNAcentral lists this ribosomal RNA (481 nucleotides) under uncultured bacterium. RNAcentral's name for it is "partial 16S ribosomal RNA". It matches the Rfam family "Bacterial small subunit ribosomal RNA", at positions 28 to 507 of the family's 1533-position model. The record is from RNAcentral.